Gallus gallus (chicken) is the source of this 1393-nucleotide long non-coding RNA. The record is from Ensembl. Lineage: Eukaryota; Metazoa; Chordata; Aves; Galliformes; Phasianidae.
AAAGAGGGAGGGAGACAGCUGAAAUGUGUCUUGCCCAAGGUCAUGCAAAAGGUUGGUUUCAGAGCUGAGAUUAUACCCUAUAGCCCUAUAUUUGCAACUAUGCAACUAAAACCCAAAUUCCUCCUGGAGGAGUUGCUUUUUAUUUAAAGGCAGAAAAUGGUAAGUGCUCUUAGCCUUUAACUUAGUUAGACUUUAUAAUGACCUUUUUCCUUAAUUACCCAGCAUUCAUCAAAAUAACACACUUUGUACUUCUGAAGCUCUUUUCUGUGAGACAAAGCUGUGAUCUGGUAAAAUAGUAAACAGCUGUUGAUUUUAUAGAGAAGAAAAUAGAGAUAAGCCAUGCAGCAGCAACAGGAAUGCCACAGGAACAAGAAGCUGAAACUCCGAGUCCUGCUGAAUCAGCUUGAAGUUGUUAAUUCUACAGGUGAUUCUGCUUGUAUGCUAUGCUGAUCCAUGCACAGCAGCCAGCUUUAUGUCACCAGCAUACUUCCCUAAAGACUGAGAUUUUGGUUCUAGCUCAACAUAUGGACCUCAGAACGAAGAGGUGACGUGAUUGAUCUCUCUCCCCCCACCUCACAGCAUGUUGCUGACUUCUGCACAGCCCAGCUGAAGAUGGGCAGGCAGCUCCUGGAAGGACACACGAUGCCCUUUCUUCUUCUGAAUGUUGGCUUGCUGUGGGGCUCUGGAGAAAUAACUGAGCUGAGGAGGGGGACAGCGCUGGUGCUUAGACCCUUUUGUUGUUUUUAUUCUUUCAGUCUCUAAGGUGUGAUCUCCUGCCUCUAUCCGAGACAGCUCAGGAAUCCAUAUGGUCCUGCCAAGGCAAAGGUCUUCAGCUCCUCACAGAUCUCUCCUCCUCUUGCUGCGGGCAGAAAGCUGGGUAGUGUUUUUGGACUUUGCUGCUUCAAACUUGUAAAACUUGUAUAGCAACUGUGAACUAAAACUCAAAUGAUACUCUAGCAAAACAAGCCUAUGCUCCUCCAGCACCUGCUCGUCUUGCAAGGAUGGGAAGGGAAAAUGGAUGGGUUUUGAGUUGUUUGAGGCACUUCAGGAGAACGCUGGGGUUAUGCAAUUGUAGUGGUGCACUGUCCUCACUGGAAGAAGAUAUGAGUUGGAACACUUCCCAGUGACUCCUCUUCCCUCUUUGUGUAUCUGUGAGGCAUAUAAAGUCCUUGAUAGGGAAGUAACUUUAUGGAAAUGAACUGCACUCAAAGCAAGAUUUAGGUAUUUGCUUCAAACAUAAACAUAAAGAACAGCAUGCAGCCCAGCUCCCUACAGUGCACCAGUUAAAACUCUGCACGUUGUACCAUAUAGCACAGCACGGCUGGCUUUGCAAAUGAGGUCCCCAGAGCAUCACAUUCACCUGCAAAGGCUCAGCUCUUCAGAGGAAGUCAGG